This 74-nucleotide transfer RNA is filed under the name Candidatus Fibrimonadaceae bacterium. Its description in RNAcentral is "tRNA-Val". It matches the Rfam family "tRNA". From Rfam's summary of the family: Transfer RNA (tRNA) molecules are approximately 80 nucleotides in length. Their secondary structure includes four short double-helical elements and three loops (D, anti-codon, and T loops). The record is from RNAcentral. Lineage: Bacteria; Pseudomonadati; Fibrobacterota; Fibrobacteria; Candidatus Fibrimonadales; Candidatus Fibrimonadaceae.
GGACGAUUAGCGCAGUUGGUUAGCGCACUACCUUGACAUGGUAGGGGUCACAAGUUCGAGUCUUGUAUCGUCCA